AUCACAUCCCCUCACGGCAUCCCUCUUGACCUUCUGGACCGAGUGAUGAUAAUCCGGACCAUGCUGUAUACUCCGCAGGAAAUGAAACAGAUGGAGUUUCUCUCUUGUUGCCCAGGCUGGAGUGCAACGGUGCAAUCUCAGCUCACUGCAACCUCCGCCUCCCGGGUUCAAGCGAUUCUCCUGCCUCAGUGUCCUGAGUAGCUGGGAUUACAGGCACACGCCACCACACCCACCUAAUUUUUGUCUUUUUAGUAGAGAUGGGGUUUCGCCAUGUUGGUCAGGCUGGUCUUAAACUCCAGACCUCAGGUGAUCCACCUGCCUCGGCCUCCCAAAGUGCUGGGAUUACAGGCGUGAGCCAUUGUGUCCGGCCAAAAUCAGGACGUUUCGUACAAGGAUCUGAGUUCUGAGCCUGUCUUGAGAAAAGGGAAGACUGCAGACAACACCUUGCAGCAGUGGUGGCCGCGGGUGGAGGGGCUGCCUCCCCAGGGUGUUUGCUGGCCAAGCACUUCACCCUCACCUGGCUCAUCGCAGCCGCUCUGGCCUGCUGGGGCUUUCCAAGGCCUU
Molecule: small RNA, 564 nt
Filed under: Pan troglodytes (chimpanzee)
Lineage: Eukaryota; Metazoa; Chordata; Mammalia; Primates; Hominidae
Description: processed transcript
Source: RNAcentral